Molecule: ribosomal RNA, 450 nt
Filed under: Madecassophryne truebae
Lineage: Eukaryota; Metazoa; Chordata; Amphibia; Anura; Microhylidae
Description: partial 12S ribosomal RNA
Rfam family: Bacterial small subunit ribosomal RNA
Source: RNAcentral
AUUACUAGCCCCAAGCUAAAAACCCAAAGGACUUGACGGUGUCCCACCCACCUAGAGGAGCCUGUCCUUUAAUCGAUUCUCCCCGAUAUACCUCACCACUUCUAGCCACUCAGUCUGUAUACCUCCGUCGCAAGCUUACCAUAUGAACGCAAAAGUGAGCUAAAAGAUAUAACAUCAACACGUCAGGUCAAGGUGCAGCUCACGAAUUGGGAAGCAAUGGGCUACAAUUUCUAUUUUAGAACACACGGAAAACUAUAUGUAAUACAGUUAUGAAGGUGGAUUUAGUAGUAAAAAGAAAAUAGAGAGUUCUUUUUAAUUAGGCGCUGGGACGCGUACACACCGCCCGUCACCCUCUUCAAGUGCACGCACAUGUUUAUAACAUCUACUCCACAUAUCCAGAAGAGGCAAGUCGUAACAUGGUAAGUGUACUGGAAAGUGCACUUGGAUUUU